GGGGAUGACCGGUUUUGACAGCGGGUAGAAGUGGUUUGUAAGCAUGUAGUGCGUGGUCGGCUUGCACUUAAAUCUCAGACGGCGAACAAUUAACUGGCGAAAACAAUUACGCUCUCGCUGCUUAAUCGAAGAACAGUAGAUUGAAGCUUAAUCCCUGCAAAAGUUGCGGGGACGUGACAUCACCCGGAUGCUGUGGCUCCGAAGCGUUCCGAUCAGGUGGUGCAGCAAUAUCGGAGAUAGUUUGAAGUAAGCCUCGGACUUCAGGCGAAAUUUAGAGGAUAAGGUUCAAGUGGGUGGCUUCGGUCUUGCUUGUUCCCGACAAUCGAAGGCGAAGAUAAACAUGUAGAAAGCAGAUUAGUUCCUCGUUUGGACGAGAGUUCGAAUCUCUCCAUCUCCACAA
This 400-nucleotide transfer-messenger RNA is filed under the name Parabacteroides sp. It matches the Rfam family "transfer-messenger RNA". From Rfam's summary of the family: Bacterial tmRNA, also known as 10Sa RNA or SsrA, is named for its dual tRNA and mRNA-like properties. Its role is to liberate the mRNA from a stalled ribosome. RNAcentral also lists the same sequence under 1 other name. The record is from RNAcentral. Lineage: Bacteria; Pseudomonadati; Bacteroidota; Bacteroidia; Bacteroidales; Tannerellaceae.